GUGCCAGCCGCCGCGGUAACACGUAGGAUCCGAGCGUUAUCCGAAUUCACUGGGCGUAAAGAGCUGGUAGGCGGUUGGAUAAGUUGGAUGUGAAAUCUCCUGGCUCAACUGGGAGAGGCCGUUCAAGACUAUCCUGACUAGAGGGCGAUAGAGGUAGGCGGAAUUCCCGGUGUAGUGGUGAAAUGCGUAGAUAUCGGGAGGAACACCAGAGGCGAAGGCGGCCUGCUGGGUCGCACCUGACGCUCAGAAGCGAAAGCUAGGGGAGCGAACGGGAUUAGAAACCCCUGUAGUCC
Molecule: ribosomal RNA, 293 nt
Filed under: uncultured bacterium
Lineage: Bacteria
Description: partial 16S ribosomal RNA
Rfam family: Bacterial small subunit ribosomal RNA
Source: RNAcentral